GAAUUCAGGCAUCUCCAUUCUCUCCCUCUCUCACGAUCGUAAUGUUAAUCAGACGUUUCUCUCUCACUAAAACUGUGCUCAACUCCAUCUUCCACCACCAUCCCCUCCGCCUCUUAACCACCGUGUCAAAUCAGCCGCAGCCUCCCCCGCCAUCCCCAGUUAACCCAGACCACCUUCUCCGAGUCUGUACCAUCCUUUACCAACAGCAAUACUCUCCAGAUUCCAAACUUCACUCCAAACUCUCCUCUUGCGGUUUCCAUAUCACCCACGAAUUCUUCCUCCAAGUCUGUAACAAAUUCCCAUACUCCUGGCGCCCUGUCUACCGCUUCUUUCAGUACAUACAGCAAACAGCUCACCCACAAUUCGCUCACACCACUGUCUCCUUCAACAAGAUGUUAGACGUUAUUGGAAAAUCAAGAAACCUUGAUCUCUUCUGGGACACGGUUCAAGAAAUGGGCAAACUUGGUUUGGUUAAUGAUAAGACUUUUAUUAUUGUUUUGAAAACACUGGCUUCGGCCAGGGAGUUGAAGAAAUGCGUGCAAUUUUUUCUCUUGAUGAAUGGGUAUGGGUGUGGGUAUAGUGUGGAGAGGUUAAAUAAGGCGGUGGAGAUAUUGUGUAGAAGUAAGCUUCUUGAGGAGGCAAAGUUCGUGGUUUUGAAGUUGAAGGAGUGGAUUAGGCCUAAUGGGGUUACUUACGGGUUGUUGGUUAAGGGGUUCUGUGAUGUGGGUGAUAUGAUUGAGGCUUCAAAAGUGUGGAAUUUGAUGGUAGAUGAAGGUUUCGAGCCAGGGAUCCACGUAUUUGAGAAAAUGAUGGAGACAUUUUUCAAGAGGAAUGAGUAUGAUGAGGCUAUGAAGGUGUUUCAAACGAUGAGAGUGAAGAGAAUGGAUGAUUUAGGUCUUUCUUCUUACAGGCUCGUCAUUGACUGGAUGUGUAAAAGAGGCAAGAUUGCCCAAGCGAAGAUGGUGUUUGAUGAAAUGUCCAAGAGAGGGAUUGGAGCAGAUAAUCUUACAAUAGGGUCACUAGUAUAUGGGCUUUUAGCAAGAGGAAGGGUUAAUGAGGCUUAUCAAGUAGCAGAAAGUAUCGACAGGCCAGAUAUCAGUGUGUAUCAUGGGUUGAUUAAGGGACUACUAAGGUUGAGAAGAGCAAGUGAAGCUACACAAGUGUUUAGGGAGAUGAUAAAGAGAGGGUGCGAACCUACAAUGCACACGUAUAUUAUGCUAUUGCAAGGGCAUUUGGGGAAGAGAGGGAGGAAGGGACGAGACCCACUUGUGAAUUUUGAUACCAUAUUUGUUGGAGGGUUGGUAAAGGCUGGGAAGUCAUUAGAAACCACCAAGUACGUGGAGAGGACAAUGAAGGGAGGACUUGAGGUUCCUAGAUUUGAUUACAAUAAGUUUUUGCAUUAUUAUUCAAGUGAGGAAGGUGUAAUUAUGUUUGAAGAGAUGGGAAAGAAAUUGAGAGAGAAAGGGUUGGUCGAUUUGGCAGAUAUAUUUGAGAGAUAUGGAAAGAAAAUGGCUACCAGGGAGAGGAGGAGAAAUGGAGAAGUUGAGCCCUCCUGAGAAAGAGUUCUCCUAAUGAGUUGAUGUUUCACACACACAUGCGCGCUAUAUAUAUAUAUGUAUUGACUGUUUAUUUUAACAUUAAAAAUUUUUAUGGGAAUAUGAAAAGGAUUCAUUAAAUCACUUGGGUUUUGAGAUCCUUGCUUCUUUUAAUUGGUUAAAACAUAAAUUGAUACAAAAAAUAAAAUGAUGAAUUCCCAUACUAUGUCAUGCUCUUAUUAUAAUACUU
RNAcentral lists this unclassified non-coding RNA (1785 nucleotides) under Hevea brasiliensis (rubber tree). Lineage: Eukaryota; Viridiplantae; Streptophyta; Magnoliopsida; Malpighiales; Euphorbiaceae. The record is from RNAcentral.